This is a small nuclear RNA of Saimiri boliviensis boliviensis (Bolivian squirrel monkey), 106 nucleotides long. Lineage: Eukaryota; Metazoa; Chordata; Mammalia; Primates; Cebidae. The record is from RefSeq and is a predicted model, not a curated record.
GUGCUCGCUUUGGCAGCACAUAUACUAAAAUUGGAAUGAUACAGAGAAGAUUAGCAUGAAGUAAUGGGCCAAUGACAUGUUUCAGUGAAAAACAAAGUUUGUGAUU